This 81-nucleotide transfer RNA is filed under the name Thermomicrobiales bacterium. Its description in RNAcentral is "tRNA-Leu". It matches the Rfam family "tRNA". Rfam says of the family: Transfer RNA (tRNA) molecules are approximately 80 nucleotides in length. Lineage: Bacteria; Pseudomonadati; Thermomicrobiota; Thermomicrobia; Thermomicrobiales. The record is from RNAcentral.
GCGGGCGUGGCGGAAUGGCAGACGCUGCGGUCUUAAACAUCGCUGGAGUAAUCCGUGUGGGUUCGAAUCCCACCGCCCGCA